Molecule: ribosomal RNA, 301 nt
Filed under: uncultured bacterium
Lineage: Bacteria
Description: partial 16S ribosomal RNA
Rfam family: Bacterial small subunit ribosomal RNA
Source: RNAcentral
CAGUCGCCACGGGAAUACGAAGGGGGCUAGCGUUGUUCGGAUUUACUGGGCGUAAAGGGUGCGUAGGCGGAUUGUUAAGUCAGGGGUGAAAUCCCGAGGCUCAACCUCGGAACUGCCUUUGAUACUGGCGAUCUUGAGUCCGGGAGAGGUGAGUGGAACUGCGAGUGUAGAGGUGAAAUUCGUAGAUAUUCGCAAGAACACCGGUGGCGAAGGCGGCUCACUGGCCCGGAACUGACGCUGGGGCACGAAAGCGUGGGGAGCAAACAGGAUUAGAUACCCCUGUAGUCCCUGUCUCUUAUAC